RNAcentral lists this ribosomal RNA (254 nucleotides) under uncultured bacterium. RNAcentral describes it as "partial 16S ribosomal RNA". It matches the Rfam family "Bacterial small subunit ribosomal RNA", at positions 524 to 776 of the family's 1533-position model. The record is from RNAcentral.
UACGUAGGGUGCGAGCGUUGUCCGGAAUUAUUGGGCGUAAAGGGCUCGUAGGCGGUUUGUCGCGUCGGGGAGUGAAAACUCAGGGCUUAACCCUGAGCCUGCUUCCGAUACGGGCAGACUAGAGUGCGGUAGGGGAGAUUGGAAUUCCUGGUGUAGCGGUGGAAUGCGCAGAUAUCAGGAGGAACACCGGUGGCGAAGGCGGUUCUCUGGGAAUGUCCUGACGCUGAGGAGCGAAAGUGUGGGGAGCGAACAGG